Molecule: ribosomal RNA, 253 nt
Filed under: uncultured bacterium
Lineage: Bacteria
Description: partial 16S ribosomal RNA
Rfam family: Archaeal small subunit ribosomal RNA
Source: RNAcentral
UACCAGCACCCCGAGUGGUCGGGACGAUUAUUGGGCCUAAAGCAUCCGUAGCCGGUCCUGCAAGUCUUCCGUUAAAUCCAGCUGCUCAACAGAUGGGCCGCGGAGGAUACUCCAGAGCUAGGAGGCAGGAGAGGCAAGCGGUACUCAGUGGGUAGGGGUAAAAUCCGUUGAUCCAUUGAAGACCACCAGUGGCGAAGGCGGCUUGCCAGAAUGCGCUCGACGGUGAGGGAUGAAAGCUGGGGGAGCAAACCGG